RNAcentral lists this ribosomal RNA (447 nucleotides) under uncultured bacterium. RNAcentral's name for it is "partial 16S ribosomal RNA". It matches the Rfam family "Bacterial small subunit ribosomal RNA", at positions 329 to 793 of the family's 1533-position model. The record is from RNAcentral.
CGCCAGACUCCUACGGGAGGCAGCAGUGGGGAAUAUUGCGCAAUGGGCGAAAGCCUGACGCAGCGACGCCGCGUGGGUGAAGAAGCGCCUCGGCGCGUAAAGCCCUGUCAGCAGGGAAGAAAAUGACGGUACCUGAAGAAGAAGCCCCGGCUAACUACGUGCCAGCAGCCGCGGUAAUACGUAGGGGGCAAGCGUUAUCCGGAUUUACUGGGUGUAAAGGGAGCGCAGGCGGCGCGUUAAGCCUGGUGUGAAAGCCCGCGGCCCAACCGCGGGACUGCAUUGGGAACUGGCGCGCUGGAGUGCCGGAGGGGUAGGCGGAAUUCCUAGUGUAGCGGUGAAAUGCGUAGAUAUUAGGAGGAACACCAGUGGCGAAGGCGGCCUACUGGACGGUGACUGACGCUGAGGCUCGAAAGCGUGGGGAGCAAACAGGAUUAGAUACCCCUGUAC